ACCUUUAUUUUUUUUUAUUUUUUAAGUUUCUUGAAUAAGAGGCAGCAUCAUUUACAUUUCGAUAAUUGGCAAUUACAGAUUAAUUUGAAGCUUUGUUGCCAUGAUUUUAAAUCAUGAAUAAUGAAAAAAAUAAGAAUUUGUUAUUCAUAACUUAUACAAAUUAUACUAAAUAAUAAAAUAGUAUCUAGCCAGAUAGUUGAUGUUUAUGAAGGUCUAUUGAAAGGAGUGAGUUACUCUGUUAUGCUUUUCAGGGUUUCUCGUAAUGUAGGAGUUGUGAAGAGUACUGAUCCCCUUUACAAAAUAACAUUCAUUGAUUCAACUAUUGUUACGAACACCAAUGUUGUCUUGCAAUCCCCGAUUCAUCGUCUUAUUCCUUUCUCCUCUGUAUAAAAAAGCACUAUUUCAAAAAAAAAUACUAGCGUGAAAAAGCUCUCAGG
RNAcentral lists this long non-coding RNA (437 nucleotides) under Arabidopsis lyrata. RNAcentral describes it as "long non-coding RNA (ALYR_LNC003222)". The record is from RNAcentral. Lineage: Eukaryota; Viridiplantae; Streptophyta; Magnoliopsida; Brassicales; Brassicaceae.